GCGGCGGGGCUGGGGCGCGUUCCGGGGCGCCCGGGAGCAGCGCCUCGCCUGGGCUCCGGAAGCCGCGGGGCUCCAGUUCCAGAUGCAGAAGCCAUGGAGUUGAGCUGCAGCAAAGUCCCUCUUUACGGAUCGAACUCAGGACCUUGUGCUUGCCAGGCAGUUGAGGCACCACUGAGCUAAAUUCCCGGCCCUUAUUUUGUAAAUUUCUGAAUUUGUGCUUCUCUCAGUGAGUAUUCUCCAAAUCUCUUCUCUUGUAAUGACAGGAUCUUCACUCUUCUUUGUGUGUGUGUGUGUGUGUGUGUGUGUGUGUGUGUGUGUGGUGCAUGCAUGCAUGUUGAGGGUGGAAUGAGUGAGCAGGUGCAGAUGCUGGUCAGAUGAGGGGGCAGAGGGCACUGCUCCCUGAUUUUUCUCCCCCUUCGGAGGGCCUUCCUGUGGAGCACUGGGCUUGAUGGCUGGAUGGCUGCCCUGAGAUUGGAACGCAGGUGGUUCUGGCUCUGUUCUUUGCCCAGGACAGGUCACUUUACAGAGACUGAAGGCUCUGGAUGCUCCUGAUAGUCGUGGUUCUGGCUGCCAUGUUUAAGGCUGUCAGCUGUCCCACACUGACCUUCAGACAAUACUUAGUGUGACAUAAAUCCAUAGACUUCGAGCGUUAAAUAAUAGCCAGG
Molecule: long non-coding RNA, 665 nt
Filed under: Heterocephalus glaber (naked mole-rat)
Lineage: Eukaryota; Metazoa; Chordata; Mammalia; Rodentia; Bathyergidae
Description: lncRNA (ENSHGLG00100034880.1)
Source: RNAcentral